This 2349-nucleotide ribosomal RNA is filed under the name Triticum aestivum (bread wheat). RNAcentral's name for it is "partial small subunit ribosomal RNA". The record is from RNAcentral. Lineage: Eukaryota; Viridiplantae; Streptophyta; Magnoliopsida; Poales; Poaceae.
CCGGUCGCGCCGACUCUCGUCGCGUAUAGGCGCAAGUGCCGCACGCACACCACGCGUUCAUUGGUCCCACGUGCACCACAGGCACCCGUCCUUAUCCAAGCAACCCCACGUCCUUAUCCUCAUCAACUGUUCAUCCACACAAACCUCAUCCUCUCGCUCGUGUCUCACCUGCCUUGCCUCUGUCUCUCGCUCGUGCCGUUGCAUCCUUGCUCCGGCGAGCCCCACCACUAGCCACGCGAGGAGCUGCAACCGGAGGACGGAGGAGCUGCUACCGGACACUCCGGGAGCUGCAACCGGCGGGCAGAGGAGCUACAAGCCGGGAACUAAACCGACGACCGCCGUGCUGGAUUCAGCGCGCCGGGGUGCUGCAACCGGCAGAUUAAAUAGCUACAACUACCUUUUGUUUUUGCUCGGAUUGGUGAAAAAUUUCGGUGCGACCAUCGACGGUGAGCCUUUUUUUGCUGGAACCGGUUUUCUUUUUUUUUUCUGGAAUCAUGUUUUCGUUUUGUUGGAAUCAUGUCAUGCUUGCUGGUAGCUUGUAGCUCCGGCGAGAGCAACAUAUGCUCGCUGCGGAUAUGCGCGCAGCUCGUGCUCUACCCCAACAGCACGAUGCGUGCAGCUCUGGCGAUGGACAACAUCUUACUGGCGUGCGGCCCUUCCCCAACAGAUGGCUUGUCGCGGAUGAUGAUCUGCACGCUCCACUCAGCUCGCAGGAGAGGGCAACCACCAUCAAAAGAUGCUUCAACCUCGGCGUGGCAGAGCCCAAGUGUAGGUCCGGGAGCUGCAACGAACCAGACAAAUGAUGGAACAUGUGACGACCGUGUUGUGUCGGCGACGGUGCGGUCCACCAUUGCUGGAACCAGCUUCUUUUUUGGCUGGAACUACCAUUAUUUUUUGCUGGAACUUUUUUUUUUUGCUACAAUCAACUAGUGUGUUUGCUGCUGAGUUUUUUUUUUGCUGGAACCAGCAUGUGUGUUUUCUGAAACUGGCUUUUUUGUUUGCUACAAUCGUCUUUCUCAGAUUUGUACUGCUGAGAUUAUUUUUGCUGGAAAUGUCAUCAAUUUUUGGUACCAUCGUAUUCUUGUUUUGCUGGAACCAAUUUAUUUUUCAAGGAUCCAACUUGAUGGUGGUGCGGGUAGUUUUUUUUUUGUGAACUUCGACGGCGAGCAUCGACGGGGAGCACGGCAGUAACUGUCGACGACGAGGGCAAACGGGGUAGGGCAGACACAAGCAACAUGACGUGGUGGCGAGGUGUGGCUGUCAUGUGCUUGUGUUUUUUUUUUCAGAUCUCGUGCACGGUGGGGAAGAAAGAGAUGGACGGUGGAAGGAUCAGACGGCUGAUAGUGGCAGAAUCGUACGGCUUGCGGGUGACCUGCCCAAAUUUGAACCCACGCGCCGGCGCCUAUCUUCGCCCAUUUACAAAGGCUCAUUCAAUGCAUGAGAUGAGCCGGUCGACAAUACCUGUAAACAACUGACGCAACACUGGCAGGUUGCAGCCGGCUGGUAGCUAUAUACGGAACUACGUGGCGUGGAGCAACCGUCGCUCUAACACGAGGAGGUGAAGGCAACAUCCAACACCAGAUGUACAUGAAAAAAAGCAUCAUGUCGAGGAGUGCUCUCACCGAGCUAGUUAAGUUCUCAUCUAUAUUAGCACAUAUUGUUUAAUUAUAGCCAAAAGCUAUUUUUAAAAACCUUUGUCAUCCGAUCGCAAAUCUGGUGGCUCGUUUCUCUUGAUUAUUUAUUUCAAGGUCGAAUCGAACCUACUUGUUUUCUGUGGCUAGUAGAUUUCUCUCGAUCGAACCUGGUUACCAGCGAAGCAAAUAUCCAAAUGAUCCCUCUAUUUUAUUUUUUCAAUUUCCAAAAGCUAGAAUUUCAACUCUUCUUUAUUAGCAUAUUAGAAAGAAAAAGAUUUCUGGUUUCCUGCUUUUAGACUUCACGAGUGUGUACUAUUGGUUACCUUUUUUUGACUUCUUGACUGUGCGUCAUUGACAUCAGUUUUUGGUAAGUACAAGAGUUAUUGGUAAUGGAGAGACGACAAAUCAUCUCGAUAUAGAAUCGGUACCACUCAAUCUCGGUGUUUUGAGGUCAGAGAGUCCGCAGGCACAUAUGUGAUAGCUUCCAUUUCAAGCAACCAUUAUAACUUUGACCCACGGGAAAAAAGUUUCUUCAAAACAUGCCUGGUAAUUUAUGUGUAAAUAGUAUAGUAAUAUAUGUAUCAUAUACCUAAUAAGUUACUCCUUCCAUCUAUAUAGGGCCUAAUGCGUUUUUUAAGACCGUCUUUGACUAUUGAGAAGAUUAAUAGUACAUGACAUGCACAAUGUGAAAAUUAUAUCAUCGAAAGCUCCUUUC